UCGUUGAAAAGCAGACUAAGGUCUACCUUCAGGUAAUAUACUGUCACCCACAAACCUUUGCACCAAGUUCCAGCCUUCUAUUAGCUUCCUUCAUAACUCCCAAGAAAUCUUUUACUCUAUCAAGAACUGCAAAUAUUGCAGAAAAUUUAUUAGUUACCAACAAAUAUAUUUUUAACAUCCAUCUUAUACUGUUUCUUUUUGUUUUAGGCAAGAAUUGGAAAUCUAGUUCAGUGAGAAAUGGCUAGUAAUUAUCAUCAUACAUGCAACAACACAGAUGAAGAGUUUUACCUUAAAUCUCUUAUUCACGUUUGCGUUUUUUCCACACUGCCUGUAGUGCAUCUAGCAUUUUCUCCAAGAAUAAUAAUUUCUCAAAUGUUUUGACCACCCAGGAAAUUUAAACUAACGAC
Molecule: long non-coding RNA, 407 nt
Filed under: Carica papaya (papaya)
Lineage: Eukaryota; Viridiplantae; Streptophyta; Magnoliopsida; Brassicales; Caricaceae
Description: long non-coding RNA (CPAP_LNC016545)
Source: RNAcentral